This 1017-nucleotide ribosomal RNA is filed under the name Salmonella enterica. RNAcentral's name for it is "partial 23S ribosomal RNA". It matches the Rfam family "Bacterial large subunit ribosomal RNA", at positions 711 to 1641 of the family's 2925-position model. The record is from RNAcentral. RNAcentral also lists the same sequence under 1 other name. Lineage: Bacteria; Pseudomonadati; Pseudomonadota; Gammaproteobacteria; Enterobacterales; Enterobacteriaceae.
AGACCCGAAACCCGGUGAUCUAGCCAUGGGCAGGUUGAAGGUUGGGUAACACUAACUGGAGGACCGAACCGACUAAUGUUGAAAAAUUAGCGGAUGACCUGUGGCUGGGGGUGAAAGGCCAAUCAAACCGGGAGAUAGCUGGUUCUCCCCGAAAGCUAUUUAGGUAGCGCCUCGUGAAUUCAUCUCCGGGGGUAGAGCACUGUUUCGGCUAGGGGGCCAUCCCGGCUUACCAACCCGAUGCAAACUGCGAAUACCGGAGAAUGUUAUCACGGGAGACACACGGCGGGUGCUAACGUCCGUCGUGAAGAGGGAAACAACCCAGACCGCCAGCUAAGGUCCCAAAGUCAUGGUUAAGUGGGAAACGAUGUGGGAAGGCCCAGACAGCCAGGAUGUUGGCUUAGAAGCAGCCAUCAUUUAAAGAAAGCGUAAUAGCUCACUGGUCGAGUCGGCCUGCGCGGAAGAUGUAACGGGGCUAAACCAUGCACCGAAGCUGCGGCAGCGAACGUAUCACCCAAGACAACUUUACGGAGUUGACGAUUGACGGAGCGAAGCGACGUCAAAGCGUUCAUUAAAGUCGAGUUGGCUUAGGGAUACGUUCGUUGGGUAGGGGAGCGUUCUGUAAGCCUGUGAAGGUGUGUCGUGAGGCAUGCUGGAGGUAUCAGAAGUGCGAAUGCUGACAUAAGUAACGAUAAAGCGGGUGAAAAGCCCGCUCGCCGGAAGACCAAGGGUUCCUGUCCAACGUUAAUCGGGGCAGGGUGAGUCGACCCCUAAGGCGAGGCCGAAAGGCGUAGUCGAUGGGAAACGGGUUAAUAUUCCCGUACUUGGUGUUACUGCGAAGGGGGGACGGAGAAGGCUAUGUUGGCCGGGCGACGGUUGUCCCGGUUUAAGCGUGUAGGUGUGUGUUCCAGGUAAAUCCGGUUCACUUUAACACUGAGGCGUGACGACGAGGCACUACGGUGCUGAAGCAACAAAUGCCCUGCUUCCAGGAAAAGCCUCUAAGCAUCAGGUAACACGAAA